RNAcentral lists this ribosomal RNA (1413 nucleotides) under Triticum aestivum (bread wheat). RNAcentral's name for it is "partial small subunit ribosomal RNA". The record is from RNAcentral. Lineage: Eukaryota; Viridiplantae; Streptophyta; Magnoliopsida; Poales; Poaceae.
AUGCCGUCGCCGUCGAUAGUGCGCGUGCUGUCGAAGCGGACGGUGGCCCCGCCGCCGCGCCCGCGGGAGCGCAUCCCGCUCACCUGCUGGGACGCUGCCAUGCUCUCAUCCAACUACAUCCAGAAGGGCCUCCUCUUCCACAAGCCCGCCUCCUCGGCGCUGCAAGUCGUCGACCACCUCGCCACGGCCCUCGGCGACGCGCUUCUCCACUACUACCCCGUGGCCGGCCGCUUCGCCACCGAGCAGCACAGGGACGAGCGCACCGGCGCUGUCGUGGGCUGCUCCGUCCACGUCGACUGCGACGGCCAGGGCGUCGAGGUCCUGCACGCGGUGGCCGAAGGGGUGACCAUGGCGGACGUGGCCCCGCCCGACGCCGACGUGCCGCGCGACCUGCUGGCGCAGUUCUUCCCCCUCACGGACGCCCUCAACUACGGCGGCCGCGAGCAGCCGCUGUUCGCCGUCCAGGCCACCGACCUCGCCGACGGCGUCUUCAUCGGCUUCGCCUACAACCACGCGCUCUCCGACGGCACUGCGUUCUGGGACUUUGUCAACUACUGGGCGUCCCUCGCGCGCGCCAGGCUCGGCCUCGCCCCGGCGCCCUCGAUGCCGAAGCCCUCGUUCGAGCGCUGGUCGCCCGACGGCGGCGUGGCAGGGCCGGCCGUGCUGCCAUGCGCCGACGUGUCGGAGCUCAUCGAGCGCGCCACGCCGCUGCGGUUGCGCGAGCGAAUGCUGCACUUCUCCGCGGACUCGCUGGCGGCGCUCAAGGAGCGCGCGCGGGACGAGCUCCUGGCCGCCGGCGACGCGGCCGGCGCCGCCGCGCUGACGCGGUUCCAGGCGCUGUCCUCGCUCCUCUGGCGCUGCAUCACCCGCGCGCGGCGGCUGGCGCCGGAGAAGGAGACCGCGUGCCUCGCGGCCAUCAAUAACCGCGCGCGGCUCCGGCCGCAGCUCCCGCAGGAGUACUUCGGCAACACGAUCUACGCGAUCGGGACCGAGCCGGCGCGCGCAGGGGACCUCCUGGCGCGCGCGCACGGCUGGGCGGCGGCGGCUGUUGGGCGGGCCGUCGCGGCGCACACGGACGCGGCCAUCAGGGCGCGCGUGGCGGAGUGGACGACCAAGCCCAUGGUGUACACGCAUCGCUUCUUCGACACGACGGGGACGAUGAUUGGGAGCUCGCCGCGGUUCGACAUGUACGGCUGCGACUUCGGGUGGGGGAGGCCGCUGGCGGCGCGCAGCGGCAGGGCCAACAAGUUCGACGGCAAGACGUCGUUGUACCCCGGCCGGGAGGGUGGUGGCAGCAUCGACGCGGAGCUCACGCUCAUGCCGGAGAACAUGGUGGCGCUCGAGCAGGACGACGAGUUCUGGGCCGGCGUCACCCCGGACGCGCCGGUGCCGACGCCGCACAAGAAGGCUUGA